RNAcentral lists this ribosomal RNA (654 nucleotides) under uncultured archaeon. RNAcentral's name for it is "bacterial SSU rRNA". It matches the Rfam family "Archaeal small subunit ribosomal RNA", at positions 508 to 1160 of the family's 1478-position model. The record is from RNAcentral.
GCCUAAAGCGUCCGUAGCCGGCUCUGUAAGUUUUCGGUUAAAUCUGUACGCUUAACGUACAGGCUGCCGGGAAUACUGCAGAACUAGGGAGUGGGAGAGGUAGACGGUACUCGGGAGGAAGUGGUAAAAUGCUUUGAUCUCUCGAUGACCACCUGUGGCGAAGGCGGUCUACCAGAACACGUCCGACGGUGAGGGAUGAAAGCUGGGGGAGCAAACCGGAUUAGAUACCCGGGUAGUCCCAGCUGUAAACUAUGCAAACUCAGUGAUGCAUUGGCUUGUGGCCAGUGCAGUGCCGCAGGGAAGCCGUUAAGUUUGCCGCCUGGGAAGUACGUACGCAAGUAUGAAACUUAAAGGAAUUGGCGGGGGAGCACCACAAGGGGUGAAGCCUGCGGUUCAAUUGGAGUCAACGCCAGAAAUCUUACCCGGAGAGACAGCAGGAUGAAGGUCAAGCUGAAGACUUUACCAGACAAGCUGAGAAGUGGUGCAUGGCCGUCGCCAGCUCGUGCCGUGAGGUGUCCUGUUAAGUCAGGUAACGAGCGAGAUCCUUGCCUCUAGUUGCCACCAUUACUCUCAGGAGUAGUGGGGCGAAUUAGCGGGACUGCCGUAGUUAAUACGGAGGAAGGAGAGGGCCACGGCAGGUCAGUAUGCCCCGAA